This 286-nucleotide ribosomal RNA is filed under the name Clostridioides difficile. RNAcentral's name for it is "partial 23S ribosomal RNA". It matches the Rfam family "Bacterial large subunit ribosomal RNA", at positions 401 to 688 of the family's 2925-position model. Lineage: Bacteria; Bacillati; Bacillota; Clostridia; Peptostreptococcales; Peptostreptococcaceae. The record is from RNAcentral.
UAUGAUCCAGAGUACCACGGGACACGUGAAACCCUGUGGGAAGCAGGAGGGACCACCCUCCAAGGCUAAAUACUACCUAGUGACCGAUAGCGUAUAGUACCGUGAGGGAAAGGUGAAAAGAACCCCGGGAGGGGAGUGAAAUAGAACCUGAAACCCUGCACUUACAAGCUGUGGAAGCACAUUUCUUGUGUGACCGCGUACUUUUUGUAGAACGGGCCAACGAGUUACGUUAAGUAGCAAGGUUAAGCACUUAAGGUGCGGAGCCGUAGCGAAAGCGAGUUUUAAC